UACGAAGGGGGCUAGCGUUGCUCGGAAUCACUGGGCGUAAAGGGUGCGUAGGCGGGUCUUUAAGUCAGGGGUGAAAUCCUGGAGCUCAACUCCAGAACUGCCUUUGAUACUGAGGAUCUUGAGUUCGGGAGAGGUGAGUGGAACUACGAGUGUAGAGGUGAAAUUCGUAGAUAUUCGCAAGAACACCAGUGGCGAAGGCGGCUCACUGGCCCGAUACUGACGCUGAGGCACGAAAGCGUGGGGAGCAAACAGG
Molecule: ribosomal RNA, 253 nt
Filed under: uncultured bacterium
Lineage: Bacteria
Description: partial 16S ribosomal RNA
Rfam family: Bacterial small subunit ribosomal RNA
Source: RNAcentral